Zeugodacus cucurbitae (melon fly) is the source of this 7573-nucleotide RNA transcript. RefSeq lists it as uncharacterized. NCBI's taxonomy places the organism in Eukaryota, Metazoa, Arthropoda, Insecta, Diptera, Tephritidae. The record is from RefSeq and is a predicted model, not a curated record. The transcript is spliced from 6 exons.
AUAUGUUUUCAACUAUUCCUAAAUUCUUCUCACUCGCAUGCAACCCUGUGCUCUGCGCGCUCGUUCAUAUGACACAUUCACUCUCUUUGGUAUGUCAGAACAGUCUAAUUGGAAGUUUUUUGUGCGAACAACGGCAUAUAACAUCGCUUUUCCUCACGUUGCUGAUGCGUGGUUAAUCAACCAAUCGACCAACUAACAAAACCGGAUAGUACCAAACAAACGCCCAACCAACCAUCACCAACACCACCACCAAAGCAUACUCCACGUCAAACAGUGUGUGUUUUAUAUGUUAAGUUCUACUGGAUUUUACGCCAAUCAAACUGUCAAACUAAGUGAUAGAAUUUGGCAAUAAUGUUGCCGCUAGAAAGUUGAAAACGGCCGAUGUCAGACGUGUCGCUUUUGAAUGCUCAAAUCAAAUUCAAUGCAAAAUAAGCACGUCUGAUGACAAAUCUCUUCGCAGCAGCAGCGCAAAAAGCUAACGAACUUUGCGACAACGUUCGUCCGACAACAACAGGAACGGGAAUUUAGCAUAUAGCAGAGCGUAAAAUAUAAACAGCAUAUAUAGUACACGGAGAGGUAACACCCACGGGCACCUGCACACACACACACACACCAGCGCACAUAAAAAUCCAUAAGUGAGCGUACAGCUACGAAAACACCGACGCAUAGUACCCACACGCACGUCCACCUAUCCUUCAUAUCGACACGCACGCACGCACGCUUGCAUCCUAAAGGCCAACAAAUCAGCUAUAUUGUUGCUAUUGUAACUACUAGUGAUAAGAAAGAACGCACAAAGUGGCAGAGACCGAAAACGUAAGAAGUGAAAUAGUCAAAGCAGCAGGAAGAGUCAGUCAGUCGGAGAGCACGUAUUAGUAUAAAUAAGCCUAGCGUAUAAGGCAGCGUCACACACACCUAGUUGAUUAAUUAAUUUAUUGUACGACAUAUAUUUAGUAAGCGUGAACACUUUUGCAUACUUUGCCACACGUAGUAGGUGUGCGAGAUAGGUACCUGUACAUUUUCUCUCAGCUUGCCAAAAAGAAUAAUAACAACAAGAAAAAAAAUAUCAAAAAACGACAACCAGAUUCCCUGCGUGUGUUUUGCGGGUUGCCUGUCAGUGAAUAUUUAAGCAAAUAUCAUGACAUCAUACGCAACCGUCAAUGAUUCUAACAACGCGGCAACAGCAACAACAACAAGCACAAUGGACAAUACAAAUGUGGCCAACGCCGCAACAACGUUAGCAGCGUCAGACACAAUGGCAGGUGGUGCGGAGAAUGUCGAUGGCACGCGCAACUUUCACACAACUAUCGACCGUUGCGCGCCUUAUGAAAGUCCAACAACACCAACUACAUACGAUUGCGAUGUACCGCGGAAAUUGGGCGAGCAACAACAACAACAACAGCAGUUGCAAGAUCAACAAUUGCUAUUGUUGGAUACACCGACAAGCAAUUGUUGCACCGACUAUGAGUGUGAUUCGUUUUCGGAUGGGCAUGAGAAGACCGAUACAACACCGGAAAAUUUGAAGAAGAUUGAUGAUGUCAUUGAGCAGCAAGCGCAGCUGCAACAGUUAAAAAACCGCUCAUCCUCCUCGCAUUAUCUUAGUAAUACACAACAAGCAGCGGCAACUAAUGCUGCUAACGCUUACGAUCGCGAUAUUGUUGGUGCUGGUUAUGGUGUGGGGCUGGCUGUGGCGGUUGAUGACUCAAAUGCAAAAUUUUGCUUUGGCAAACCGCUUUGCAAUGAAAAAGAUAUGUUGAGCAAAAGCGAACGCAUAGAAAGCCACAGCCACAUCCAUGGCCACAGCAUCGACUGUUCGACAGUCGAUUUGGGCAAAAGUAGACGCGUUGCCGACGGUAACGGCAGUGACAGCGGUUGCGUUACACCGUCCACUAUGUCGGAGCUGAAUGCGGCGACGCUGCUCGCCAGCGGUGCAGACAAUAGCGAGUCGUUGCCGCAUGACGAUGAUUCAUCCGCAUCUAACGCAACAAAUACUACCACAACAGCUACAGCUAAUAAGCAAUCGUAUGCUUUUACAAUUGACAAUUUUAACGAUAGUGGUUGUGAUCCUGAAGCAGCUAAGGCGCGCUACAAGAGCAUGAUGGAACGUUUUCAGAGUCGCCAUCGACGCGGUGCAUCCAUGUCGAAGCUGGAGGCUGGCGAUGUGGCGGCCAACAAGGAAACCACAAUGACUAGUUCCGUGUCAGCCACACCGUUGAGUGGCAGCGCCAGCGCCAACACACGUCACGCGCGCCAAAGUGGUGGCGCAGCUGAUAACUCCUUCGAUAGUGGCGGCGGCGGCGCUGAUGUGCCGAAGGUGAAGCUGCGUGUGCGCGAUCGCAGCACAUCACGCGUACGCGACGCCAGCAAGCGGCACAGUUGGUCACCGCGUUCCAGCACACAGGAGUCACAAUUGCACGCGCACGCUGGUCAGCAUGCCGUCGCGCAAACGCCAACAGCGCCGCGCACCAACCACCACGGAGCAAAUGAGCGCGCGCAUGCGGCGCAGAAGCCCUUACCGCCGACGCGCAAGAACGUCAGCAAGCAGAAACCACCGCCGCUGCAGCUGCCCAAAGGUGCUGCCAACCUAGUCGCGAAUCGUACGCAAUUCACGCCGCGCUCGACGGCUAUGCAGUUGGCGUUGCAGAAAGUGGACUUUCUGUGCGCGCAACCACCGCUCGCCGAGCUGAAGAAUUACAAUUUGGAGGCGGAUAAUAUCAGUGAAACCGGCACCUACACGCUGGAUGGCGAUAACUACACGGAGGAGCAGAAGGAUCUUAUGAACAUCGACAAGAGCGCACAGCAAGCGUUGAAAGCACAGCAACAACGCCCGAAGAAUUUGCAAUUGAGCAGCAGUGUGGUGGAUGUGGACGCACAGCUGAGCAAUACGAAAAUCCCAGUGCAUGUGAACAAUCGCUCGAAUGUGCUCGAGGUGAAUUACUAUCACGACGCCGAAGCGGAUCCGCAGUGUCCGCAAUCGCCGCGCGCUUACAACGAGCGCGAUCUCAUUUUGGGUACGCAUGAGUCGGCGGGCGCAUAUUUGGAGAAGAUAAAGUCUCGCGUGCUGCGCAAUGCCUCCGCGACAAAGUCGGCGCCACCGCAGGUUGAAAUCGCGGAGAAGACACCCACUGAGGAUGACGGCGAUUUGGGUUGCUUCACGAGCGUGACAACCAGUGGCGUGCUCGCCAAGAAGAGCGCACUAGAUCCACGUCCGCGUUUGACGCGUAAAUCCGGCUUGUCCACGUCACAAAUUGACUCAUCCGAGUAUGUGAGCAAUGAGAUGAAGUUGAAGGCGAAUACCGCGAGCGCGUACUCGGGUGGUGGUUUCACUGAUCAUCAGAAAGCUGAAUACCGUUUGAAUCUGUUCACCAAUCAGAAGGACAGCAACAGAGAGAAAUUUGCGGCGACACGCAGUUACAUAGAAUCACCACCGGACACGCCCACACACCAGAAACUGUCCGAUGCAGCGGUGUUGAAGACGGCACAAACGAAAAACGAUUGGAUACAGGAGUGGGCACGCAAUGCACGAGCACGCAGCCUCGCCUCAGACACGUCCAAAACGCGCAUUCACCCGGAUGCGUCGCAAUCGGCGUUGAUGACGCGCAGCUACACGUGCGCUUCCGAUACAGCUGCCGGUGGUGAUUCGCUCACCGACGAUAGCAUUUACAAUAGCAAACAGUGCAUCAGCGCUGCCAAGCUGAAUCGCAGUCUUGCCGAGCGUUAUCGCUUGUCGGGCGAAUGUGACUACUCGAGCGACCCGACGUUGUCGAGCGGCGCGUACAGCAGCGGUGGACAGCCGGCCGAGGGCAUUUGCAAGCCACCAAAGAGUCCUUCGAAAAUACCCUCACCGCUGCAUUCAAUUGGACGUGCGCGCAGUGCAAGUCGUACGCGUGCGCCGCUGCAGAAUGUGAUGUUACAGGGUGGUGUUGUUGGCGACGAAGAGGCGGAUAUCUAUUUGCAGAAGACAGCGGCUGCUAUUAACAAUCUACAGCAGUCGCUCUCGCGCAAGAAUUCCCUAAAAUCGCCGCCAACCACACAUUCUUCAGCGUCGCCACGUGCGCACUCGGCACGCUCGCAUGCUCAUUCCGCGGCGUUGUACUCGCCGCCAGACGACUGCGGCAGUCCACAGCACGGUUUGGGCUCGCCCACCUCUGCGGCCAGCGGCAGCGCUUACCAUCACUCACCGUUGCAUCGGCGCGUUGCCACGUCGCAAGAACCCUAUGGCAGCCGCAAUGCACAGCAUUUGCAGCUGAUGACGAGCAGCUUCAAUGAGCAGCAAUUGAAGUUGCUCACCAGCGGCGAAUACUUGGCGCGGCAAAUGCGUGCGCGCAAGAACUCCUUCGAUGGCAACAUCAGCAAUUCGCCAGCACGUCGCGCCGCCGUAGCAGCGGCCAAUGCGCAAGCGCAGGCUGCGCAAAGCGGUCAGGAGUCGCCAUUACGUCGUUCCAGUUCAUUAUCGGCGAAAAUAGCGACAACUCAGCGCGCGGCGCGUCCACAAUUCUCCAAUAUCUACACACCACCGGCUGCGCGACACAAUUAUUCGCUGGUUGGUGGCGGUGAUGGGCAGUCCGCAGCGGCGGCAGGGCAUAAAAAUGCUAGCAUAAUCAAAAAGUCGGCGAGCAGCAAUAAUUUCCGCCACGCGAUCGGUGAUUACGACGAAAAUUUCCAAUAUUAUAUAAACGAUGAGGAUGACAUGGGCGAAGAGUAUUAUUCGAGUGGUGCUGAGGAGGUCGAGGAAGAGGAGGAAGACGACAAUGACCACUACUAUCACCAGCACGACGAUGACGUGCAAGCGGAAGUGGAGAACACCGCUGCAGUGCCGCUGUCCAAUACGCGUUUGAAUAAGGCGCUACUCAUGCGUAUCGAACGCAGCAAGCAACGUGUAAGCGGCACUUCCGGCACGGCCAAGCCGUCGUCGGCGCCUGUGACGAAAUUGCAACAACAACAGCAAGCUGCCGGCUCUUGUGGCGUUAUGGCAUGCCCUAACACGCCCGAAUUGCCGCGUCGCGGCAUACGCAGCGCACCACGUUCGGGCGGCGCCACAACAACGCGACAAUCAGUGCCGCGUGACACCAGUCUCAGCCGUUUGGCAUCGCAGGUACCCAACUCGCUGGCCUCGGCCAAGAAGCAGCUACUGCAAACCGCCGCCGCUGUGCCAUCCACAACAACAAAGCUUGCGACAGGUCAGCGUGUGCAACCGAAGUAUUUGGACAUAUCGAAGUACAAGCCGGCGCAGGGCAAUAAUUUUCUACGCAAGAACGAUUCCAAGAGCACACUGAAAACGUCAGCACUGAGCGGUGACAUGAUGAAACGCAGUCCGAGCAGCUCAUCCAUGGGGCUGACGCGUGCGGAUCCGACACGCACCAGCAAUCGCAGUGUACGCUCGGUGGCCUCGUGCAUGACCACAAGCGGCACUACGCUUGGCGGUGGUGGUGGCGGUGGCGGCUACGGCAUGAGCGGUCGUGCCUCAUCAGCGGUGCGUAGAGACCAGUCGGUGACUAAACAAAAAGAGGCAGAAAUGGCCAUGUGGAAGCGACGCUCCACGUACGAUCCGAUGAAGGCGGCCGCCGAAGAUCGCCGCAAGAAAGAGGAAGCCAAACGUUUGGCGCUCGCCAAGAAUAUGGGCGAAAUGCCGUGCGAGAGGCCAUCUAGAUCUCCCUACCGUCGUGGACAAUUAUGACCGGAAGGGUUGCUCAUAACCGAUCUCUAAGCGUAACUACUGCAAAUAUGAGAAGAAGAAGAAGGGAAAAAUAAAACAAAUUUUUAAUAUUCCUAUUUGCCAUUGUUACCACCAACAACAACACAAAUUCCAUCCAAGUCAGUAAUCAUGAACACCAAAGCGACACCGACUCCUUGCAAAUUGUUGGCGUCGCGCAUGGCAAAAAAAAAACACCCGCAAGUGUUUAACGCUGAUUAUAACAAUUGAUUGAGUAAUUAGCGUCGCUAAUUAAACCAGUUAACGUUGAGUUGUGCGAGGUGCUAAAUGCAAGGAGUUUAGUGUGUCUUGAAGUGCAUGCAACGAAUUGAAAAAGAAAACAAAAACGAUAAAGUACACCCCAACACGCGAGGAAUGAAGCGUUGGGGGAAGCAACUACGCCUAACAAAUGUAAUAUUUAAAUGCAAAAAUAAAAAUAAAAAUAAACCAAAAUAAACUAAAAAUGCGACAAUACGAAAAAUAAUUAAAAAUAAACAACAACAAAUUAUCGAAUAAGCGAAGCGAGCCAGCGAAUCCAGCGAACGAGCGAAUUCGAAAACUAAGAACGUCAAUGCAGAGAGUGAGAGUGAUGUAGUGAAGGAGAAGAAGAAAUGAGAGUGAGAACGCGCGCAUUUGAGGAUAAGAAAACAGUUGCAGCAUACUUUUAGGCGCUUGCCAAAUAAAUUCACAAAUUUCGUGCACAUCAACGAACGAGUAAUUCCAAACAAAUCAAUCUACAAACUCAAUGCAACGGCAUGCUGCAACACGUACGCCACCGCCAUUCAAACAACAACUAUCGCUGGACGAACAAUGGACCGAGUAUGGUGAGGAAGAAUGCGUCUAAAGCGCAGUGGAGAGUAGAGGAGAGGAGCGGAGUUAGGGACCAGCGGACCAGCGUUCAUCAGUGAAGAGCAGCUAAUUUUAUGAGCGACGAACAAAUGCGUUUAGAAAGCUUUUGAAAAGUGAUACAUAGGAACUACUAUUAAAAAGAAAUUAUAUAAUUACAAUUUAUAAAAAAAACUAAAAACUAUUAUUAAUUAUUGUUAAACAAAACGAGAACAACUAUUGCUAAUAGUACUAUAAACUAUAUAAUUAUGCGAAUUGAAUGCGAUAACUAGUUGUUGCUGUGAAUUGAAGUGAAGUGAAGUUUGGCUGGCAUAAAUAUAUAUUCUAUAAUAUAUGUAUGUGCGCCUUCUGCGUUUAUGGUUAGUUAAAAAAAUACUGUAUUGACGGCAUAAAAAUGAAAAUGAUUUAAUUAUAUAUUUAAUAAUAACUUGUAUACAUACAUACUUAUACAUAUAUUAUAUGCAACUAUUUUGUGAAUGGCAUACACCAACAGAUGUUGUGUGUGUAUGCGUGAUAGUAAUAUAAACACACAAAAAGCAAAUUUAAAACUAAUUAAUUUAAAAAAAUAAAAAUUAUAUAUUUAUAUAUAUAGAUUUCAUUGCAGUAUAUCGAUGUAAACUGCAAUUUUUGUUUUUGUAUACUGAAAACUAGCAAAGCGUACAUAAGAAACAUGAAAAUGAAUGAAACACAGAACACUAUUGAAAAUACUCGGAUCAAAAUAUUGAUUUUGCAUUAAGUUACGACGCUGCUUUUAACUGUAAACUAAUAUUAUACGAAAAACACACAAACUAUGUGCAGUCGUGUUUUUGUUUGAUAAAUAUAAAUAUAAACAUAUAUUGACUUGAUGUAAUGAUGCAUGCGCAUGCGCAAAUGUGCGCAUAUGCGCUUAAAGCAAUUUAUAAACCUACUAUGUAUUUUUUACAUUACUGUAUAGGCGCUGUAAUAAUUUUGAUAAGUCGUUGCUUUAGUAUUUAAAAAACUAUAAAUGUAUAUAUAUAUACAUAAAUAUAUAUGAAUGAAUGAAUAAAUAAAUAAAUA